Molecule: ribosomal RNA, 490 nt
Filed under: uncultured bacterium
Lineage: Bacteria
Description: bacterial SSU rRNA
Rfam family: Bacterial small subunit ribosomal RNA
Source: RNAcentral
AGAGUUUGAUCAUGGCUCAGGAUGAACGCUGGCGGCAUGCCUAACACAUGCAAGUCGAACGGACCUUUAUUUUGAGAGUUCCUUUAUAGAAAUUCUCAAAAAUACUGGUUAGUGGCGGACGGGUGAGUAACACGUUGGUACCUACCCUCUAGUGGGGAAUAACUUCGAGAAAUCGAGGCUAAUACCGCAUGUGGUCUACGGAUCAAAGCAGUAAUGCGCUAGAGGAGGGGCCUGCGUCUGAUUAGCUUGUUGGUGAGGUAAAAGCUCACCAAGGCGACGAUCAGUAGCUGGAUCGAGAGGUUGACCAGCCACACUGGGACUGAGAUACGGCCCAGACUCCUACGGGAGGCAGCAGUGAGGAAUCUUCCACAAUGGACGAAAGUCUGAUGGAGCAAUGCCGCGUGCAGGAUGACGGCCUUCGGGUUGUAAACUGCUUUUAUAUGGGAAGAUUAUGACGGUACCAUAUGAAUAAGGACCGGCUAACUACGUG